This 626-nucleotide ribosomal RNA is filed under the name Escherichia coli. Its description in RNAcentral is "bacterial SSU rRNA". It matches the Rfam family "Bacterial small subunit ribosomal RNA", at positions 1 to 616 of the family's 1533-position model. Lineage: Bacteria; Pseudomonadati; Pseudomonadota; Gammaproteobacteria; Enterobacterales; Enterobacteriaceae. The record is from RNAcentral.
AAAUUGAAGAGUUUGAUCAUGGCUCAGAUUGAACGCUGGCGGCAGGCCUAACACAUGCAAGUCGAACGGUAACAGGAAGAAGCUUGCUUCUUUGCUGACGAGUGGCGGACGGGUGAGUAAUGUCUGGGAAACUGCCUGAUGGAGGGGGAUAACUACUGGAAACGGUAGCUAAUACCGCAUAACGUCGCAAGACCAAAGAGGGGGACCUUCGGGCCUCUUGCCAUCGGAUGUGCCCAGAUGGGAUUAGCUAGUAGGUGGGGUAACGGCUCACCUAGGCGACGAUCCCUAGCUGGUCUGAGAGGAUGACCAGCCACACUGGAACUGAGACACGGUCCAGACUCCUACGGGAGGCAGCAGUGGGGAAUAUUGCACAAUGGGCGCAAGCCUGAUGCAGCCAUGCCGCGUGUAUGAAGAAGGCCUUCGGGUUGUAAAGUACUUUCAGCGGGGAGGAAGGGAGUAAAGUUAAUACCUUUACUCAUUGACGUUACCCGCAGAAGAAGCACCGGCUAACUCCGUGCCAGCAGCCGCGGUAAUACGGAGGGUGCAAGCGUUAAUCGGAAUUACUGGGCGUAAAGCGCACGCAGGCGGUUUGUUAAGUCAGAUGUGAAAUCCCCGGGCUCAACCUG